UACGAAGGUCCCAAGCGGUGUUCGGAAUCACUGGGCGUAAAGGGUGCGUAGGCGGCGCGGUAAGUCAGAUGUGAAAGCCCGGGGCUCAACCCCGGAAUGGCAUCCGAUACUGCCGUGCUGGAGUAGUGGAGGGGGAUCUGGAAUUCACGGUGUAGCAGUGAAAUGCGUAGAUAUCGUGAGGAAGGCUCGUGGCGAAGGCGAGAUCCUGGACACUUACUGACGCUGAGGCACGAAGGCCAGGGGAGCAAAAGGG
Molecule: ribosomal RNA, 253 nt
Filed under: uncultured bacterium
Lineage: Bacteria
Description: partial 16S ribosomal RNA
Rfam family: Bacterial small subunit ribosomal RNA
Source: RNAcentral